Molecule: ribosomal RNA, 31 nt
Filed under: Crangonyx islandicus
Lineage: Eukaryota; Metazoa; Arthropoda; Malacostraca; Amphipoda; Crangonyctidae
Description: partial 5.8S ribosomal RNA
Source: RNAcentral
AACCACCAUACAACUCUGAGCGGUGGAUCAC